This 235-nucleotide long non-coding RNA is filed under the name Elaeis guineensis (African oil palm). Its description in RNAcentral is "long non-coding RNA (EGUI_LNC014861)". Lineage: Eukaryota; Viridiplantae; Streptophyta; Magnoliopsida; Arecales; Arecaceae. The record is from RNAcentral.
ACUCAAGAUCUUGGGAAUAGAGGAGCAAAACCUUGACGAACCCGAUAUUCUUUUUAUAAACUCUCUAACCACUGGGGAUAUCUUGUAGAUUGGCAGGAAGUGUGGGUUGAUAAUUGCUGAAAAGGGUGUUGACUCAACCUUGGCCAAACUGAGAGUUGGAGGUUCAGCACUGCAACAGUGGCGUCAACCUGCUGAAGAUUUUUGGGACCUGAUGGACUUUGAGCUGUUUGCGCGU